RNAcentral lists this long non-coding RNA (1027 nucleotides) under Homo sapiens (human). RNAcentral's name for it is "HSALNT0260828". Lineage: Eukaryota; Metazoa; Chordata; Mammalia; Primates; Hominidae. The record is from RNAcentral.
GUGCAAUCUCGGCUCACUGCAACCUCUGUCUCCCAGGUUCAAGCGAUCCUCCUGCCUUCAUCUCCUGAGUAGCUUUGAUUACAGGUUCUGGCUAGCACCUCCAGUACAAUGUUAAAUAGCAGUGGUAGAAGCAGGUCUCUUUGUCUUGUUCCUGAUCUUGGAGGAAGAGCCUUCAGUCUUUCACCCUGGAGCUCACGGCCUAGAGAAGAAGGCACAGAAAUGAGCAAAUUAUGCAAAUUAAUGUAUCAUUUCAAUUAGUGAUAUGUGCAACAGCAAGUAGCAUAAGACAUAUUAAUGUGUAAAAUUUUGUCUCGGAAGGAGGAGAAACUUUCUCAAAGAAUCUGCGUCCUGAGUAAUUGGUAGGAGUAGGAAAUCUAUUAAGGUGAUAGAUACUCUAGCAGGGAUUGCCCUAAUUUCUUUUUGGCAUUGGCCCCACUUAACAACGGAAUAGGAAAACCUCCAGGAAGGAAGGAAGCUAAAGAAACCGGACUGGUUAACCAAGGAACCAGAUCUGUUGCCUAAAAGUGAAUCAUCAAGUUUGUGGCUAUUCCUGUAGGGCAUGGUAAAUGCCCACAACACAUGGCCCUGAAGUUUGUUCUUCUUUCUGACUUUGAUGGAGUUCAAUUUAUUGGUGUUUACUAUUUUGCCUGGACUUUUGGUGUCACAUCCAAGAAAUCUGCCAAGUCCAAUGUCAGGAAGCUUUCUCCCUAUGUAUUCUUCUAAGAGCUUUAUAGUUUUAACUUUUGCAUUUAGGCCUUGGAUCUCAUUAGUUUUUUGAACUAAUUCUUGUGUAUGGUUAGAGAUAAGGGUCCAACUUCAUUUUUUUUUUUUUUUUUUUGAGAUGGAGUCUCGCUCUGUUGCCCAGGUUGGAGUGCAGUGGCGCGAUCUCGGCUCACUGCAAGCUCCGCCUUCCAGGUUCACACCAUUCUCCUGCCUCAGCCUCCCAAGUAGCUGGGACUACAUGUGGCCACCACCAUGCCCAGCUAAUUUUUUGUAUUUUUUUUAGUAAAGACAGGGUUUCGCUGUG